Molecule: ribosomal RNA, 3108 nt
Filed under: Salmonella enterica subsp. enterica serovar Typhimurium str. USDA-ARS-USMARC-1896
Lineage: Bacteria; Pseudomonadati; Pseudomonadota; Gammaproteobacteria; Enterobacterales; Enterobacteriaceae
Description: bacterial LSU rRNA
Rfam family: Bacterial large subunit ribosomal RNA
Source: RNAcentral
GGGUUGUGAGGUUAAGCGACUAAGCGUACACGGUGGAUGCCCUGGCAGUCAGAGGCGAUGAAGGGCGUGCUAAUCUGCGAUAAGCGCCGGUAAGGUGAUAUGAACCGUUAUAACCGGCGAUACCCGAAUGGGGAAACCCAGUGUGAUUCGUCACACUAUCAUUAACUGAAUCCAUAGGUUAAUGAGGCGAACCGGGGGAACUGAAACAUCUAAGUACCCCGAGGAAAAGAAAUCAACCGAGAUUCCCCCAGUAGCGGCGAGCGAACGGGGAGGAGCCCAGAGCCUGAAUCAGCAUGUGUGUUAGUGGAAGCGUCUGGAAAGGCGCGCGAUACAGGGUGACAGCCCCGUACACAAAAGCGCAUGUGCUGUGAGCUCGAUGAGUAGGGCGGGACACGUGGUAUCCUGUCUGAAUAUGGGGGGACCAUCCUCCAAGGCUAAAUACUCCUGACUGACCGAUAGUGAACCAGUACCGUGAGGGAAAGGCGAAAAGAACCCCGGCGAGGGGAGUGAAAAAGAACCUGAAACCGUGUACGUACAAGCAGUGGGAGCCCCACCACUAAGCCAGUGGUGAACUCCACAUCCGCAUCCUUUGCUGAGGAUACGGUUAACGGAGCGAAAGCGACGUUCAACCGCAAAACAAGCAGAGGGGGCUUAGUGGUGGGGUGACUGCGUACCUUUUGUAUAAUGGGUCAGCGACUUAUAUUCUGUAGCAAGGUUAACCGAAUAGGGGAGCCGGAGGGAAACCGAGUCUUAAUUGGGCGUUAAGUUGCAGGGUAUAGACCCGAAACCCGGUGAUCUAGCCAUGGGCAGGUUGAAGGUUGGGUAACACUAACUGGAGGACCGAACCGACUAAUGUUGAAAAAUUAGCGGAUGACCUGUGGCUGGGGGUGAAAGGCCAAUCAAACCGGGAGAUAGCUGGUUCUCCCCGAAAGCUAUUUAGGUAGCGCCUCGUGAAUUCAUCUCCGGGGUAGAGCACUGUUUCGGCUAGGGGGCCAUCCCGGCUUACCAACCCGAUGCAAACUGCGAAUACCGGAGAAUGUUAUCACGGGAGACACACGGCGGGUGCUAACGUCCGUCGUGAAGAGGGAAACAACCCAGACCGCCAGCUAAGGUCCCAAAGUCAUGGUUAAGUGGGAAACGAUGUGGGAAGGCCCAGACAGCCAGGAUGUUGGCUUAGAAGCAGCCAUCAUUUAAAGAAAGCGUAAUAGCUCACUGGUCGAGUCGGCCUGCGCGGAAGAUGUAACGGGGCUAAACCAUGCACCGAAGCUGCGGCAGCGAACGUAUCACUUAAAGCGAUUCAGCGGGUUACGAUUGACGGAGCGAAGCGACGUCAAAGCGUAUACAAAGUCGAGUCGGUUUAAGGAUACGUUCGUUGGGUAGGGGAGCGUUCUGUAAGCCCGUGAAGGUGGCCUGUGAGGGUUGCUGGAGGUAUCAGAAGUGCGAAUGCUGACAUAAGUAACGAUAAAGCGGGUGAAAAGCCCGCUCGCCGGAAGACCAAGGGUUCCUGUCCAACGUUAAUCGGGGCAGGGUGAGUCGACCCCUAAGGCGAGGCCGAAAGGCGUAGUCGAUGGGAAACGGGUUAAUAUUCCCGUACUUGGUGUUACUGCGAAGGGGGGACGGAGAAGGCUAUGUUGGCCGGGCGACGGUUGUCCCGGUUUAAGCGUGUAGGUGUGUGUUCCAGGUAAAUCCGGUUCACUUUAACACUGAGGCGUGACGACGAGGCACUACGGUGCUGAAGCAACAAAUGCCCUGCUUCCAGGAAAAGCCUCUAAGCAUCAGGUAACAUCAAAUCGUACCCCAAACCGACACAGGUGGUCAGGUAGAGAAUACCAAGGCGCUUGAGAGAACUCGGGUGAAGGAACUAGGCAAAAUGGUGCCGUAACUUCGGGAGAAGGCACGCUGACACGUAGGUGAAGUGAUUUACUCAUGGAGCUGAAGUCAGUCGAAGAUACCAGCUGGCUGCAACUGUUUAUUAAAAACACAGCACUGUGCAAACACGAAAGUGGACGUAUACGGUGUGACGCCUGCCCGGUGCCGGAAGGUUAAUUGAUGGGGUCAGCGCAAGCGAAGCUCCUGAUCGAAGCCCCGGUAAACGGCGGCCGUAACUAUAACGGUCCUAAGGUAGCGAAAUUCCUUGUCGGGUAAGUUCCGACCUGCACGAAUGGCGUAAUGAUGGCCAGGCUGUCUCCACCCGAGACUCAGUGAAAUUGAACUCGCUGUGAAGAUGCAGUGUACCCGCGGCAAGACGGAAAGACCCCGUGAACCUUUACUAUAGCUUGACACUGAACAUUGAGCCUUGAUGUGUAGGAUAGGUGGGAGGCUUUGAAGUGUGGACGCCAGUCUGCAUGGAGCCGACCUUGAAAUACCACCCUUUAAUGUUUGAUGUUCUAACGUGGACCCGUUACCCGGGUUGCGGACAGUGUCUGGUGGGUAGUUUGACUGGGGCGGUCUCCUCCUAAAGAGUAACGGAGGAGCACGAAGGUUGGCUAAUCCUGGUCGGACAUCAGGAGGUUAGUGCAAUGGCAUAAGCCAGCUUGACUGCGAGCGUGACGGCGCGAGCAGGUGCGAAAGCAGGUCAUAGUGAUCCGGUGGUUCUGAAUGGAAGGGCCAUCGCUCAACGGAUAAAAGGUACUCCGGGGAUAACAGGCUGAUACCGCCCAAGAGUUCAUAUCGACGGCGGUGUUUGGCACCUCGAUGUCGGCUCAUCACAUCCUGGGGCUGAAGUAGGUCCCAAGGGUAUGGCUGUUCGCCAUUUAAAGUGGUACGCGAGCUGGGUUUAGAACGUCGUGAGACAGUUCGGUCCCUAUCUGCCGUGGGCGCUGGAGAACUGAGGGGGGCUGCUCCUAGUACGAGAGGACCGGAGUGGACGCAUCACUGGUGUUCGGGUUGUCAUGCCAAUGGCACUGCCCGGUAGCUAAAUGCGGAAGAGAUAAGUGCUGAAAGCAUCUAAGCACGAAACUUGCCCCGAGAUGAGUUCUCCCUGAGACUUAGAGUCUCCUGAAGGAACGUUGAAGACGACGACGUUGAUAGGCCGGGUGUGUAAGCGCAGCGAUGCGUUGAGCUAACCGGUACUAAUGAACCGUGAGGCUUAACCUUACAACGCCGAAG